Molecule: ribosomal RNA, 461 nt
Filed under: Acanthamoeba sp.
Lineage: Eukaryota; Discosea; Longamoebia; Acanthamoebidae
Description: SSU rRNA
Rfam family: Eukaryotic small subunit ribosomal RNA
Source: RNAcentral
GGCCCAGAUCGUUUACCGUGAAAAAAUUAGAGUGUUCAAAGCAGGCAGAUUCAAUUUUCUGCCACCGAAUACAUUAGCAUGGGAUAAUGGAAUAGGACCCUGUCCUCCUAUUUUCAGUUGGUUUUGGCAGCGCGAGGACUAGGGUAAUGAUUAAUAGGGAUAGUUGGGGGCAUUAAUAUUUAAUUGUCAGAGGUGAAAUUCUUGGAUUUAUGAAAGAUUAACUUCUGCGAAAGCAUCUGCCAAGGAUGUUUUCAUUAAUCAAGAACGAAAGUUAGGGGAUCGAAGACGAUCAGAUACCGUCGUAGUCUUAACCAUAAACGAUGCCGACCAGCGAUUAGGAGACGUUGAAUACAAAACACCACCAUCGGCGCGGUCGCCCUUGGCGUUCGUGUUCACGCACGGGCGCGAGGGCGGCUUAGCCCGAUGGCACCGGUGAAUGACUCCCCUAGCAGCUUGUGAGA